CCCUACGGGGGGCAGCAGUGAGGAAUAUUGGUCAAUGGCCGAGAGGCUGAACCAGCCAAGUCGCGUGAGGGAAGAAUGUCCUAUGGAUUGUAAACCUCUUUUGUCAGGGAGCAAAGUCACCCACGUGUGGGUGUUGGAGAGUACCUGAAGAAAAAGCAUCGGCUAACUCCGUGCCAGCAGCCGCGGUAAUACGGAGGAUGCGAGCGUUAUCCGGAUUUAUUGGGUUUAAAGGGUGCGUAGGCGGAAGGUUAAGUCAGCGGUCAAAUGUCGGUGCUCAACACCGGCCUGCCGUUGAAACUGGUCUU
Molecule: ribosomal RNA, 305 nt
Filed under: uncultured bacterium
Lineage: Bacteria
Description: bacterial SSU rRNA
Rfam family: Bacterial small subunit ribosomal RNA
Source: RNAcentral